This 440-nucleotide ribosomal RNA is filed under the name Anaerotruncus rubiinfantis. RNAcentral describes it as "bacterial SSU rRNA". It matches the Rfam family "Bacterial small subunit ribosomal RNA", at positions 338 to 796 of the family's 1533-position model. The record is from RNAcentral. Lineage: Bacteria; Bacillati; Bacillota; Clostridia; Eubacteriales; Oscillospiraceae.
CCUACGGGAGGCAGCAGUGGGGGAUAUUGCACAAUGGAGGAAACUCUGAUGCAGCGACGCCGCGUGAGGGAAGACGGUCUUCGGAUUGUAAACCUCUGUCUUAGGGGAAGAAAAUGACGGUACCCUAAGAGGAAGCUCCGGCUAACUACGUGCCAGCAGCCGCGGUAAUACGUAGGGAGCGAGCGUUGUCCGGAAUUACUGGGUGUAAAGGGAGCGUAGGCGGGAUGGCAAGUUGGAUGUUUAAACUAACGGCUCAACUGUUAGGUGCAUCCAAAACUGCUGUUCUUGAGUGAAGUAGAGGCAGGCGGAAUUCCUAGUGUAGCGGUGAAAUGCGUAGAUAUUAGGAGGAACACCAGUGGCGAAGGCGGCCUGCUGGGCUUUAACUGACGCUGAGGCUCGAAAGCGUGGGGAGCAAACAGGAUUAGAUACCCUGGUAGUCC